RNAcentral lists this transfer RNA (62 nucleotides) under Philopona vibex. RNAcentral's name for it is "tRNA-Trp". Lineage: Eukaryota; Metazoa; Arthropoda; Insecta; Coleoptera; Chrysomelidae. The record is from RNAcentral.
AAGGAUUUAAGUUAAAAAAACUUUUAACCUUCAAAGUUAACAAUAGAGAUGUCUAAGCCUUA